This 425-nucleotide ribosomal RNA is filed under the name uncultured bacterium. RNAcentral describes it as "bacterial SSU rRNA". It matches the Rfam family "Bacterial small subunit ribosomal RNA", at positions 32 to 449 of the family's 1533-position model. The record is from RNAcentral.
AAUCAACGCUGGCGGCGUGCCUCAGACAUGCAAGUCGAACGAUUAAAGCUCUCUUCGGAGAGUGCAUAAAGUGGCGCACGGGUGAGUAACACGUAAGUAAUCUACCUUCGAGUGGGGAAUAACAUCGGGAAACCGAUGCUAAUACCGCAUAAUGCAGCGGCAUCGCAAGAUGACAGUUGUUAAAGAUUUAUCGCUUGAAGAGGAGCUUGCGGCAGAUUAGCUAGUUGGUAAGGUAAUGGCUUACCAAGGCUACGAUCUGUAACCGGUCUAAGAGGACGGUCGGUCACACUGACACUGAAUAACGGGUCAGACUCCUACGGGAGGCAGCAGUCGGGAAUUUUGGGCAAUGGGCGAAAGCCUGACCCAGCAACGCCGCGUGAAGGAUGAAGUAUUUCGGCAUGUAAACUUCGAAAGAAUAGGAAGAA